This 253-nucleotide long non-coding RNA is filed under the name Olea europaea (common olive). RNAcentral's name for it is "long non-coding RNA (OEUR_LNC013594)". The record is from RNAcentral. Lineage: Eukaryota; Viridiplantae; Streptophyta; Magnoliopsida; Lamiales; Oleaceae.
UUCUCUUGCACUGCCCCUUCCAAUGGGUUUCGAAGAUAAAAAUCCUUUAACAAAAAACUACUUUUCUUAGAAGGAACUCCUACCAGAUUUUUAAUUUUUAAUUAAUAAUAAAUAUUCACUUCACAACUUAUUUAUUAACUUAUAAGAUAAUUUAUGUGUGCUAGUUUUUCAUUUAGACUUUUGAUUUGUGUUUUUUGAUUCUUAUUUUUCUUUUUGCACCUAAUAAAAAGAAUUGGAAUGAAUUAUGAUGAUU